CCUACGGGAGGCUGCAGUCGAGAAUCAUUCACAAUGGGGGAAACCCUGAUGGUGCGACGCCGCGUGGGGGAAUGAAGGUCUUCGGAUUGUAAACCCCUGUCAUGUGGGAGCAAAUUAAAAAGAUAGUACCACAAGAGGAAGAGACGGCUAACUCCGUGCCAGCAGCCGCGGUAAUACAGAGGUCUCAAGCGUUGAUCGGAAUCACUGGGCGUAAAGUGUGCGGAGGCUGUAUCGUAAGUCGUGUGUGAAAGGCGCGGGCUCAACCCGCGGACGGCACAUGAUACUGGGAGACUAGAGUAAGGGAGGGGGAACCGGAAUUCGCGGUGUAGCAGUGAAAUGCGUAGAUAUCGAGAAGAACACUCGUGGCGAAGGCAGGUUCCUGGACAUUAACUGACGCUGAGGCACGAAGGCCAGGGGAGCGAAAGGGAUUAGAUACCCGGGUAGUC
This 446-nucleotide ribosomal RNA is filed under the name uncultured bacterium. Its description in RNAcentral is "partial 16S ribosomal RNA". It matches the Rfam family "Bacterial small subunit ribosomal RNA", at positions 338 to 795 of the family's 1533-position model. The record is from RNAcentral.